GUGAAUCAUCGAAUCUUUGAACGCAAAUUGCACUCUCCUCGGAGAGUAUGCCUGUUUGAGUGUCAGACUAUAAAAAAUCGACAUCGUUGCUGUUUCGCGGUGGUGUUCGUCGGAAAUUGGGUUAUCUUGUAUCCUUUUGAUUUAAGUGACUUACAAUUUUCUUUUGGUUCCACGAACGCUCCUAUGAUCUAUUUCUUUACACGCUUAAGGUAUCGAUUUUCACCUGACGAGACCAUAAUAUCG
Molecule: unclassified non-coding RNA, 243 nt
Filed under: Glomus sp.
Lineage: Eukaryota; Fungi; Glomeromycota; Glomeromycetes; Glomerales; Glomeraceae
Description: partial contains 5.8S ribosomal RNA and internal transcribed spacer 2
Rfam family: 5.8S ribosomal RNA (bases 1-65)
Source: RNAcentral